GACGAACGCUGGCGGCACGCUUAACACAUGCAAGUCGAACGAGAGAAGAGAAGCUUGCUUUUCUGAUCUAGUGGCGGACGGGUGAGUAACACGUGAGCAAUCUGCCUUUCAGGGGGGGAUACCGAUUGGAAACGAUCGUUAAUACCGCAUAACAUAAUUGAACCGCAUGAUUUGAUUAUCAAAGAUUUAUCGCUGAAAGAUGAGCUCGCGUCUGAUUAGCUAGUUGGUAAGGUAACGGCUUACCAAGGCGACGAUCAGUAGCCGGACUGAGAGGUUGAUCGGCCACAUUGGGACUGAGACACGGCCCAGACUCCUACGGGAGGCAGCAGUGGGGAAUAUUGCACAAUGGAGGAAACUCUGAUGCAGCGAUGCCGCGUGAGGGAAGAAGGUUUUAGGAUUGUAAACCUCUGUCUUCAGGGACGAAAAAAGACGGUACCUGAGGAGGAAGCUCCGGCUAACUACGUG
This 465-nucleotide ribosomal RNA is filed under the name uncultured bacterium. Its description in RNAcentral is "partial 16S ribosomal RNA". It matches the Rfam family "Bacterial small subunit ribosomal RNA", at positions 28 to 507 of the family's 1533-position model. The record is from RNAcentral.